GUCCGUUCACUACCAAAUUUCACCCGAAUUUGAUUGAGCAGCCGCCGGAUUUCACGAAUGAACUACCUGCAUCGGCAUCCGACACAUUCCGCCGCGAGAGGCGCUUCAAGCAUUGCGUCAACCCUACCGGAAACUAAUGGAAACUAUUGAAGGUUCCAUUAAACUCCAACAGAUGGUGACUGUAUAGCGUAAGCAAUUUUACAGUGGAUGUACCAAAUAGGGGAAAAUAGUAUUAUCUGAAAUUUUGCUUCUUGUUGAACUUUGAUUAACAUUUUAAAACGCCUUUCAGCGCAUUGUUUUAAAUUUUUGUUGUAGUUUUCAUAAAACAGCACAUGAUUUAUUUAUUUUGUUAAAAAUGUGUAUUAAAAAUUAAUUAUACUUUUCAAGCUGUGCUAAAAAUGGUGCAGUACGGUAAACUGCCACAGCAACAUUUUGACAGCUCAUUUGUUUGGGCCAGCACGAUUCGCGACUACGAAGGUUGAUGAGCCGGGAAACACUCUUUCUUCCUACGGGGUUUCUUAUGGGAGUAUGAGUGAAAAAACAGCAAAAAAUCUUCUCUCCUUCACUUUCUCACAGAAAACCGCAAACAAAAUCAUCACCUUCGUAGUCCCCAAUCGCCGGAGCCGCGAUCGCAGCACCAAUGUAAAUAGUGUAAAUAUUGAUAACGCGAUUUCCAGUGAAUGUUUCGCAAAAAAUAUCCGGGUCGGAAAUCUGAAACUUCCACGGGAAGAAUAGAGAUUGGUGAACAACUGGAGUUUAAACUGGAUCGAUGUGAGAAAACGGCCGAGCAGGAACAGGAAAAGUGUCGCGAAAAUUGACCCAGGAGGUGUUUCAAGAGCUAAGGUGCCGUGAAUAAGUUUCCCCAAGUGAUUUCGCUGACGUUGCAGGAGCCGUUGGCCGUGGACCAGUCACAGGAUAUGGAAUGGUUGUGAAAGGCCAUAUUACAGCUAAACGCGUUCGGCGGGCACAAGUAUUUA
This is a long non-coding RNA of Aedes albopictus (Asian tiger mosquito), 977 nucleotides long. RefSeq lists it as uncharacterized. The record is from RefSeq and is a predicted model, not a curated record. The transcript is spliced from 2 exons. Lineage: Eukaryota; Metazoa; Arthropoda; Insecta; Diptera; Culicidae.